This 425-nucleotide ribosomal RNA is filed under the name uncultured bacterium. RNAcentral's name for it is "bacterial SSU rRNA". It matches the Rfam family "Bacterial small subunit ribosomal RNA", at positions 356 to 773 of the family's 1533-position model. The record is from RNAcentral.
GAGGAAUCUUGCGCAAUGGGCGAAAGCCUGACGCAGCAACGCCGCGUGGAGGAUGAAGGUCUUCGGAUCGUAAACUCCUGUCAGAUGGGGCGAAGGUCCACCGCCUAAUACGCGGUGGUCUUGACGGUACCAUCAGAGGAAGCCACGGCUAACUCUGUGCCAGCAGCCGCGGUAAUACAGAGGUGGCGAGCGUUAUUCGGAAUUAUUGGGCGUAAAGGGCGCGUAGGCGGCCAGAUAAGUCCCGGGUGAAAUCCCUCGGCUCAACCGAGGAACUGCCUUGGAAACUGUCUGGCUCGAGGCCGGGAGAGGGUAGUGGAAUUCCCAGUGUAGCGGUGAAAUGCGUAGAUACUGGGAGGAACACCGGUGGCGAAGGCGGCUACCUGGACCGGUUCUGACGCUGAUGCGCGAAAGCGUGGGGAGCAAAC